Molecule: ribosomal RNA, 328 nt
Filed under: uncultured eukaryote
Lineage: Eukaryota
Description: partial 18S ribosomal RNA
Rfam family: Eukaryotic small subunit ribosomal RNA
Source: RNAcentral
CCCUUAGAUGUCCUGGGCCGCACGCGCGUUACACUGAUGCAUUCAACGAGCUUAUAACUUUGGCCGAGAGGCCUGGGCAAUCUUGUUAACGUGCAUCGUGAUAGGGAUAGAUUAUUGAAAUUAUUAAUCUUGAACGAGGAAUUCCUAGUAAACGCAGAUCAUCAAUCUGCAUUGAUUACGUCCCUGCCCUUUGUACACACCGCCCGUCGCACCUACCGAUUGGAUGGUCCGGUGAAGCCUCGGGAUUGUGGUUCUUGCCGCUUUAUUGUGGCGUGACCGCGAGAACUUGUCUAAACCUUAUCAUCUAGAGGAAGGUGAAGUCGUAACA